GUGCUUACUUCAGCAGCACAUAUACUGAAGUUGGAACAGUACAGGGAAGAUUAGCAUGGCCUCUGAGCAAGACCUGAAAAUUAGUGAGGCAUACUGUAUUAAA
Molecule: small nuclear RNA, 103 nt
Organism: Microtus ochrogaster (prairie vole)
Lineage: Eukaryota; Metazoa; Chordata; Mammalia; Rodentia; Cricetidae
Source: Ensembl